GUGCUCACUUGGGCAGCGCAUAUACUAAAAUUGGACCGAUACAGAGAUUAGUAUGGCCCCUGUGCAAGGACGACACGCGAAUUCAUGUAGCGUUCUAUAUUUUU
Molecule: small nuclear RNA, 104 nt
Organism: Artibeus jamaicensis (Jamaican fruit-eating bat)
Lineage: Eukaryota; Metazoa; Chordata; Mammalia; Chiroptera; Phyllostomidae
Source: RefSeq, a predicted model, not a curated record